AACGCACGAGACCUGCGGACCUGCGGAGGGAUCAUUACCGGGUGAGGGUCUGUAAUGGGCCCAACCUCCCAACCCCACUGUAUACCUUAUGAGUGUUUUACUGUUGCUUCGGUGGGUUUAACAAGUGCCUACCGAAGCCCAAACCAAAAAAAUCUUAGAGAAUGUCGUCAGAGUAAUUUUUUAAAAAAUAAAUUAAAACUUUCAGCAAUGGAUCUCU
Molecule: unclassified non-coding RNA, 217 nt
Filed under: soil metagenome
Description: partial contains 5.8S ribosomal RNA, internal transcribed spacer 2, and large subunit ribosomal RNA
Source: RNAcentral